Molecule: ribosomal RNA, 269 nt
Filed under: Pneumocystis sp. L3
Lineage: Eukaryota; Fungi; Ascomycota; Pneumocystomycetes; Pneumocystales; Pneumocystaceae
Description: partial small subunit ribosomal RNA
Rfam family: Bacterial small subunit ribosomal RNA
Source: RNAcentral
ACCCACGAUAAAUCUUACCACUUCUUGUAUCUUGGACAGGUGUUGCAUGGCUGUCUUUAGUUCGUGUUGUGAAAUGUUUGGUUCAUUCCGUCAACGAACGUAAUCCUUGUCUUUAGUUGAAUUCCUUAAAGAUAUUUCUUUCUAGAUGAGAGAAGAACGGGGGUGAAGACAAGUCCUCAUGACCCUUAUGAAGUGGGCUACAGACGUGCCACAAAGAUUUCUACAAUAGGUUGCAACAAUUUCAAAGUUUGAGCGAAUCCCUGAAAAGA